CGCACUGCGCCUAUUGUUGGGCCGCCGGAGCGCCGUGCCGGGCGCCGCCGCCGCGCGCCUUACCUGGCGGCACACCUUCGGUGUUGCGACUGCUCGCUGCGACAAGACGAGCACCGCCGCCGGGGAGGCCGCCCCGACUUCCACCGCGCCGCCAUGUGCCCGGGGACCGACGCUGCCGACCUCCAACCCGCCUCCCUGUACAGGGGGCGCCGCCGCCAUCCACCGCGUCACCCUGUGCCCGGCAUACGGUGGCGCUGCCAUCCAUGGUUUGCUUCAGGCUGCCGGCCUCGAGGGAGCACGCCGCCGCCUCCUUCCCCCACAACAGCAGCAGCAGCCAGAAGGCCACCAUCUCGCGCGGCGCCGACUCCUUCCGCCGCCUCCAUCCCGUGCGACGCUGCCCCUGCUGCAGUCGCCUGUGGUCGGAGCUGCAACCGGCGGCGGCGCCGACUCCUUCCGCCGCCUCCAUCCCGUGCGACGCUGCCCCUGCUGCAGUCGCCUGUGGUCGGAGCUGCAACCGGCGGCGGCGCUGCUGCAACCGCAGCGGCGGAGCUGCAAAGGGCACCGACGGUGCUGCAAUCCCAAUUUUGCUAUGAGCGUCUCGCCGGAGCCAUGACUGUGCUUCCUUAGUUUAUUUUUUGGCUGCAUUACUACGUAUUUUAGCUUCAUUACUGUUAAAUUUGGGCUGCAUUACUUCAUUUGUUGGACAGCUGCAUUUUUUUUGUGACCGUGCUUCCUAAGUUUUAUUUUGGGCUGCAUUACUACACUUUUUUAGCUUCAUUACUAUGAAAUUUGGGCUGCAUUGCAGCAAGACAAUUUCGUUUCUCGGCGAGGUAGGGGGAGGUGCUGCAAAUGUUCAAUGGCAGUGUUGUAAAUGUUUCGUGGCUCUGCUUCUUUACUACA
Non-coding RNA from Lolium perenne, 900 nucleotides. NCBI's taxonomy places the organism in Eukaryota, Viridiplantae, Streptophyta, Magnoliopsida, Poales, Poaceae. The record is from RefSeq and is a predicted model, not a curated record.